This 459-nucleotide ribosomal RNA is filed under the name uncultured bacterium. Its description in RNAcentral is "partial 16S ribosomal RNA". It matches the Rfam family "Bacterial small subunit ribosomal RNA", at positions 338 to 795 of the family's 1533-position model. The record is from RNAcentral.
CCUACGGGAGGCAGCAGUGAGGAAUAUUGGUCAAUGGGAGAGAUCCUGAACCAGCCAAGCCGCGUGAGGGAAGACGGCCCUAUGGGUUGUAAACCUCUUUUGUCGGAGAACAAAACCCGGGACGUGUCCCGUACUGCGUGUAUCCGAAGAAAAAGCAUCGGCUAACUCCGUGCCAGCAGCCGCGGUAAUACGGAGGAUGCGAGCGUUAUCCGGAUUUAUUGGGGUUAAAGGGUGCGUAGGCGGUCCGUUAAGUCAGCGGUAAAAUUGCGGGGCUCAACCCCGUCGAGCCGUUGAAACUGGCAGACUUGAGUUGGCGAGAAGUACGCGGAAUGCGCGGUGUAGCGGUGAAAUGCAUAGAUAUCGCGCAGAACUCCGAUUGCGAAGGCAGCGUACCGGCGCCAGACUGACGCUGAGGCACGAAAGCGUGGGGAUCGAACAGGAUUAGAUACCCCUGUAGUC